Molecule: regulatory RNA element, 113 nt
Rfam family: HIV pol-1 stem loop
Source: Rfam
GUUGGCACAGUCUUAGUAGGGCCAACACCUGUUAAUAUUAUUGGAAGAAAUUUUCUGACACAAAUUGGUUGUACUCUAAAUUUUCCAAUAAGUCCUAUUGAAACCAUACCAGU